ACUGGCGGGGAGUUCUCUAAUCACAGUGGCUGCCACAGCUUUUACUUUUCCAGCAUUUCUUUCUUAUUCAAGUCCUGAAUUUCCGGCCAUGGAUACCAUCCAAGAAGUCACAAGGAGCACACACCCGGAGAGCCGGCUGCAGGGUGGAAACAAGAAAACUGCGGGCAGCUAAGACGGGGCCAGAAGGUCACGAGGGAGUUCUGUUUUCCUCCACGGAAUAAACGGAGCCCCUCUCCGUGGAUGAGCCGGUGGUAGAGCUCUGUGUGGCCGACCCAGACCAAGAGGUGUGGGCUCCCGUGGGUGUAUGGCUUCCGCUGGAGGAAAAGGAUGACAAGGAUUUGCUGCAGGAAUGAACAUGAGCAAAGAAAUCACAUUUGCUGGAAGGGCUUGGAUGGCUAAGUGGCUUCACUUUUCUGAGCCUGCUUCCUCUUUCUUUCAUUAAAUAUAUUUAUUAAUUUCACAGUAUACUAAUUUUGAAAUAUUUUUACAGUGUGAUGUUUACACUAGGUUAAAAAUAAAACUGCAUCUUACUUUUAGAAAUUCAUGGCCAGUCACUAACUUCCUUCCCACAUUUGUUACGGGCAUUUUGUGAUUUUGUAAUCUGAAGCAAGGUGAAUUCUUACCAGGUAUAUUUAUCAAUGGCUUUCUGCACAUUUCUUGUAAAAUGCGUAGGUAAAGAAUCUUUGCUCCUCACAGUAAAACCGUGCCUUCUACGUCCUUCUGACAGUCCUCUUCUGGAAAUAAAAUAAA
RNAcentral lists this long non-coding RNA (750 nucleotides) under Homo sapiens (human). RNAcentral describes it as "HSALNT0082161". Lineage: Eukaryota; Metazoa; Chordata; Mammalia; Primates; Hominidae. The record is from RNAcentral.